Molecule: long non-coding RNA, 646 nt
Filed under: Vigna radiata
Lineage: Eukaryota; Viridiplantae; Streptophyta; Magnoliopsida; Fabales; Fabaceae
Description: long non-coding RNA (VRAD_LNC003292)
Source: RNAcentral
AAAGACAUCCUCAUCCCACACUUCACAAUACUAAUAUUUGCAACAGCACAAAACACCCACCUCCUCCAUCCUCAUUAUUCUCCACAAUUAUUAUCUAGCCACCACAAAUUACCGUCAUGUUGGGCAAAAGGCCACAACCACUGAUCGGAAAAAUCUCCGAACUUUUGGUGUCCGGUGGCCGCGCUGCCGCUCUUUUCGACGCCAUCGGAAGCCCGAGAAGCCCAUUUGAACAUAUGAACUUAAAGAUGCAACAAUCACCUAAAGGUCUAAAAAGUUACGACCUUGGUGGUGUUGGUCUGGGAAUUGUGGUGGCUCUAGAUAAAUCCGAGGAACCAGGGCACGAAAUUCUGCCCAAACACGCCGUUUGCACAUCAAGUUUGAACAAAUCGGUUAAACAAAGCGCGUUUCAAAAGGGUGUGACCGAAAUUCCCGUCGGAAGCUCCGAGGACUACACAUAUGUCACAUACCAUAUUUCCAACAAGACGAUCACUAAGGUUUAUUACGAUGGCGGUGAAGGUGGAAUCCUAACACAUGGCUACUAUAACAUUAACAACAACACCAACAACGUCGGUGGUGUUAGAAGAUUCCCUCAAACGCAUAAUUUAAUUCAAGAUGAUGACGAACCGUCAUAUGCAACAUCAGAUUU